GCCCAGCUAGCUCAGUCAGUAGAGCAUGAGACUCUUAAUCUCAAGGUCGUGGGUUCAGGCCCCAUGUUGGACA
RNAcentral lists this transfer RNA (73 nucleotides) under Neotoma lepida (desert woodrat). It matches the Rfam family "tRNA". Rfam says of the family: Transfer RNA (tRNA) molecules are approximately 80 nucleotides in length. Lineage: Eukaryota; Metazoa; Chordata; Mammalia; Rodentia; Cricetidae. The record is from Rfam by way of RNAcentral.